GAAAUGCGAUACGUAAUGUGAAUUGCAGAAUUCCGUGAAUCAUCGAAUCCUCGAACGCAUAUUGCGCUUCCGGGUAUUCCUGGAAGCACGCCUGUUUGAGUAUCAGUGUUAAAUCUCAAACAAAUUAUAUUUUUAAUUAAGUGUAAUAUUGUUUGGAUCUGAGUUUUUCACGACUAAACAUUGUGAGACUUUAAAUUAAGAGAAAGGCAGUUUCCGCUUAAUGAAACCAAAAGCUAGAUAAGGGUACCUUCGGGUCCUUUAAUAUCACAGCUGAUAAAGUUUCGAUGGAAAUUGAUCGCUUCAAAACACAUCUAAAUCCGGGCUUUUCAUAUCGAAAAGAAUCCGUGACUUUGAUCUCAAAUCAGGCGAGACUACCCGCUGAACUUAA
RNAcentral lists this unclassified non-coding RNA (388 nucleotides) under uncultured fungus. RNAcentral's name for it is "sequence contains ITS1". The stretch from base 1 to 105 matches the Rfam family "5.8S ribosomal RNA", at positions 50 to 154 of the family's 154-position model. The record is from RNAcentral. Lineage: Eukaryota; Fungi.